AAAAAAUUCUAAUAAAAUAUAAAAAUAAAGAAAGAAAACAAAUAUUUUAUAUUCAUAAUGUAUAAUGAAGUUAACAUAAAAACAUUAUAAAAUUUCCUGACUACAAAGUUAACAAACCUUGUUAGAAACACAAAAAAGGGUUUCUUAAAACUAGAUAUGUCUUUGUUAGAACCUUAAUCAAAACACGUCCCUUGAAUUGUCAUCUACCACCUGAGCCAAAAAAACAAAAUACUUGAUUUCUUUCAAAUGAUUCAAGUCCUUCAAUUCUCUCAUAGAAAGUUGUUAUAACCCCUGCAGUAAGAUGUAUAUCAGUUUAUCUAAAUCAGAUGUUUAUUAGAUGGGAAAAAGUUAUUAAUUAAAUGCUUGUUAAUCCCCAAGCAUAUAACAGAAAUCUUUGGUCUCAACAGGAGGAACAUUUGCUUAUGCAUUGCAUUGAAGGGAUAUAUCUAAUAUACUUAAAAGGACCUUGAAGCUUCGUUACUUUAUUUAUAUCUAAAUAUGCAUUCGACUUCUUAUAUUGUGAUUCAAUGCCAAGUGGGAAUGCAUCAAACUAGACGUAAUUUGAUGACAUUUUUGUUUAGUCGUAGUAUUUUGAUAAUAAUAGCAACAACGAAAAUUUUUAGUUUAGUAUUGUGGUUAGCCACUUGUGUCAACUUUCGCACCAGCAAUGAAAUCAACUAUAAGUGAUAAUGUUCAAGAAUGCUCUAACAUCAGCUUUACUAGACAAAUAAUUUAGAAGUGGAUAAAUCAAUGAAAAAUGAAAAUAUAAAAAGCAUUACCCAUGAAAUCAACUAUACUCACUCUUUCCAACCAAUGCUACUUGUUGCUCAACGAAGUUCAGAUCCCUAGGCAAGUACGAAAAGAUGUGCACAAUAUCUGAAGCAAAAACCAAUAUGCAAUCAGAAGGAUUACUGAAACCUAAAGUUGCAUUUCAAGAGAAUCCAAAAUCUAGAGUUGAUGCAAAUGCAACAUAGCGAAUAUCAAUGACUUGUAAUUCACAGAGGGGAAAAUCACCAGGGAAUUGUGUAUGUCUAUGAAAACAGAAGCCUAUGGAUUAGCCAAGUUAAUAGAACCUCUUUAGGAACAAUACAACUACAAUCAAGUUAUUAUUACUAUAAUAAUACAUAGAUAAAUGAAGAAAGUGCUCACUGCAUUGAGCAUUCUAACUGCAGGCUCUAUCACUACCAACCAUCAUAUUAUUGAAAUCCCAAUAACACUAAAUCCUACCUAUUAUAAAAUAUUAAAAGUUAUAUAAAUUAUUGCAUUAAUUAUAACAUUAUUACUAAUAAUAAUAUAUUAACCAACAGUGACCAAAGCCAUAAAAGUACUACUAUCUUUGCCCUCAAAUUUCAAAUCAAUUCCUGUCAAUUUCGACUAAUUUUUUCACACGCGCCAUAAAUAAUUCUCAACAACCCAUAUACGAACCCCUAAAUCUCCAAAACCCAACGCAGCCCCUAACAAUGUACGAAGAAGAGGCUGAGAAAUUUUUAGUAAAGCAUAUUAUUUAUAAAAUUUACUUUCCUACAUUAGUCAAAAUUUCAGCAAAAUUAAUAUGAAAAGCUAAAAUAAAUUUUGCAUCAAAAGAAAAGAAUUACUGAGAUUUCCUAUAGACAAUUAAAAUUUUAAUGGAAGAGCUUACGGAAAGGGUGGAAAUGGUGCCAUUGGAGAAGAGAUGCUCACAUACACCGUCGACGCCACUGCCGCACUGUUCAUCUCAUAUUCCAUGAAGGAAAAUAAUAUAUUUCGAAAGGAAUGAUUGGAAUUUUAGAAACAGGGUUUCAAAUUUUGAGAGAACAAAAUGGUGAGCGUGAGAGGGAAUUUGAAAUUUCAUACGAGGGAGGGUUUUAUUUGGGAUUUGGAAAUU
Molecule: long non-coding RNA, 1864 nt
Filed under: Gossypium barbadense (sea-island cotton)
Lineage: Eukaryota; Viridiplantae; Streptophyta; Magnoliopsida; Malvales; Malvaceae
Description: long non-coding RNA (GBAR_LNC014258)
Source: RNAcentral